Molecule: long non-coding RNA, 904 nt
Organism: Panonychus citri (citrus red mite)
Lineage: Eukaryota; Metazoa; Arthropoda; Arachnida; Trombidiformes; Tetranychidae
Exons: 2
Source: RefSeq, a predicted model, not a curated record
CAGUAGAUAACCUCGAAAAAUGGUAAACUGUACAAAAUAAAAAGAUAAAGUUGAUGACCUGUUCAUUUGUGAAUCAUUAUUUAAAUACGUUAAUUAAAAAAAGUUUAUUCAGAUCGAGAUAAUUAAAUAAUAGAGUAAAUUAACGAUCAUCCGAUGCUUUAACGUUAACAUUGACUUUGUCUAUUGAUUCAGAUGAAAUUGAUUUAAUUGUGACUAAUUCGAUGCGAUUAAAGUGACGAUUAACAUUAAUCAAUUGGGAUAAUCUUGAUAAUCGUUUUGUAUAAAAACAAGAGUGUUAAGUUGAUCAUUAUCACUUUUAAUCAUCAACUGAUUUAUUAACAACUAAGAAAACAGUUUUGUCUUUUUUUAAAAUAACGAUUAACAACUUUAAGCUUAAUCAUUUCUACAAAGUUCAAAGUUAUGUCGUUUCUGAGCUUCAGCGUUUUCAACCAAUUGCUUUCCCUUAUUUAUACAAUAAUCUACAACACUUGACCAACUAUGUCCACCUCUCAUGAUUUGGAUUUACCAGCUUUCUACUUUGAUCCUCUCAUUAAUCCAAUAACCCACAGUCGAGUUUCAGUUAAAACAAUUGAGCCCAUUCCUGAUGAUGAUAAAUUAGAUUAAAUUGAAUAUUGGAAAUAAUAGAAAAUUUCUAACAACUUUUGUGUUUUAUAAAAAUAAAAUCUAAUGGCUCAUAAGCCACUGAAAAGCAUCAUGUUGAUGAAUUUGUAUCAUGUUCAUUAUUUCAACAAAAGGAUCUCUAAGUCACAUAACUUUAUUUGAUUUUUUAAAAGGGUCAACACGCGUCAAGAUUUAAUGAUUAUAUUGGCAACGGAAAAGUCAUUUAGAUUACAGUGUAAUAGAAUUAUCGAUUUGAAUAAAAACACUUGAGAAAUUCUCAUAA